Molecule: long non-coding RNA, 926 nt
Organism: Phacochoerus africanus (Common warthog)
Lineage: Eukaryota; Metazoa; Chordata; Mammalia; Artiodactyla; Suidae
Exons: 2
Source: RefSeq, a predicted model, not a curated record
AAGAAACUGUCAGAAAAGAGGAAGAGCUGGCAUAAGGCAAAGACAACUAUUUCUUUUAAGUCUUUGGCUGAUAAUUCAUUGGUGAAAUGCAACGUGAUUCUUGUAGGUGACAUCAAGGAGAUGGUACUGGCUUCCUUCCAAAGUACUCCAGGGACUUGGAGGGUAAUUUUGUAUGGAAUACUCUUUCUGAUACUGGUGAUGUCACACAUGUACAAUUUGCCAGAUGAAAAUCAAGUGUACAUCUCCUCAGUCAACAGAGAGACCAGUAUUUUCAGGUCAGGCUCUGGAGUUUAGCAGAGUACAGUUAUUUAAUGGACACUGCAUCACAGGCUGAAGUCAUGUACAGUCUUCCUGCCCUCUGUUUGUAGGGUAAAGUCAUAGACUUCACUAGGCAUGGACCACGCUAGAAUUGGGCCUAUAGUGGACAAACACAGAGCACUUUAUCACUACAAAAAAGAUCCUUGGUUUUUCCUUAUCCACUCAAGCCAAACCUUAGGAGAUCACAGGAAGCAGAACUUUGAAGUCUUUUCACAGCUGACCCACAUGACUUAAGAAGCAACUUUGCCCAGGUCAGAAAAUCUUUGCUGAGGCUCUGAGCUGAGUUUUUCAUUUAUUGCAGGUACUAAUGAUACCUCUUUAGUACUGCCCUGGAGACCGAUUGCUCCAUAGAAAGAUUUUCAAUAAGGAUCUCUGUGACACAGAAGAGUACCACCUGGCCUGAAGCCACCUUGAUGGAGAGACCAUGUGGGAGGCUCCACAGAGAUAUUUCUAGCUGUUUGAGCCUUUUCCCCACAAUCAACCUCUGGACCCAAGAGAGCUAGCCUUCAAACCACCCCUCACUGAUGCUGAGUGGAGCAGAGACCAGCUGUACGAUGGAGCCGUGACCAAAUUACAAAGUAAUCAGUAAUAAAGUGUUAUGCUACUAA